ACGGAAGGCAGCAGUGGGGAAUAUUGGUCAAUGGGCGGAAGCCUGAACCAGCCAAGUCGCGUGAAGGAUGAAGGUAUUAUGUAUUGUGAACUUCUUUAGCAGCAGAGUAAUAAGGGGGUCGUGACCUCCGAUGCAAGUAUGCUGAAAAUAAGGAUCGGCUAACUCCGUGCCAGCAGCCGCGGUAAUACGGAGGAUCCGAGCGUUAUCCGGAUUUAUUGGGUUUAAAGGGUGCGCAGGCGGUUUUUUAAGUCAGUGGUUAAAUCGUGAGGCUCAACCUCAUCACGCCAUUGAUACUGGAAGACUUGAUUGCGGUUGAGGUUGGCGGAAUUCGUCGUGUAGCGGUGAAAUGCAUAGAUAUGACGAAGAACACCGAUUGCGUAGGCAGCUGACCAAGCCGUAAAUGACGCUCAUGCACGAAAGUGCGGGGAUCGAACAGGAUUAGAUACCCUGGUA
Molecule: ribosomal RNA, 453 nt
Filed under: uncultured Porphyromonadaceae bacterium
Lineage: Bacteria; Pseudomonadati; Bacteroidota; Bacteroidia; Bacteroidales; Porphyromonadaceae
Description: partial 16S ribosomal RNA
Rfam family: Bacterial small subunit ribosomal RNA
Source: RNAcentral